GAUGAACGCUGGCGGCGUGCCUAAUACAUGCAAGUCGAGCGAACGGACGAGAAGCUUGCUUCUCUGAUGUUAGCGGCGGACGGGUGAGUAACACGUGGAUAACCUACCUAUAAGACUGGGAUAACUUCGGGAAACCGGAGCUAAUACCGGAUAAUAUUUUGAACCGCAUGGUUCAAAAGUGAAAGACGGUCUUGCUGUCACUUAUAGAUGGAUCCGCGCUGCAUUAGCUAGUUGGUAAGGUAACGGCUUACCAAGGCAACGAUGCAUAGCCGACCUGAGAGGGGGAUCGGCCACACGGGAACUGAGACAGGGUCCAGACUCCUACGGGAGGCAGCAGUAGGGAAUCUUCCGCAAUGGGCGAAAGCCUGACGGAGCAACGCCGCGUGAGUGAUGAAGGUCUCCGGAUCGUAAAACUCUGUUAUUAGGGAAGAACAUAUGUGUAAGUAACUGUGCACAUCUUGACGGUACCUAAUCAGAAAGCCACGGCUAACUACGUG
This 497-nucleotide ribosomal RNA is filed under the name uncultured bacterium. RNAcentral describes it as "partial 16S ribosomal RNA". It matches the Rfam family "Bacterial small subunit ribosomal RNA", at positions 28 to 507 of the family's 1533-position model. The record is from RNAcentral.